This 107-nucleotide small nuclear RNA is filed under the name Catagonus wagneri (Chacoan peccary). Lineage: Eukaryota; Metazoa; Chordata; Mammalia; Artiodactyla; Tayassuidae. The record is from RNAcentral.
GUGCUCACUUCAGCAGCACAUAUGCUAAAAUUGGAAUGACACAGAGAAGAUUAGCAGGGCCCCUGCAUAAGAAUGACACACAAUUUUAUAAAGCAUUCCAUAUUAAA